GGCAUGGAUUAGGCAUGCAAGUCGAAUGAAUCCUGUAGCAAUACAGGGGAAAUGGCGAAAGGGGCAGUAAUACAUGGAUAACCUACCCUGGGGAUGGGCAUAGCCGGUCUAACGGCCGGGUAAUACCCAGAGAUUCGACGAUGUGGCAUCACAAUGUCGGGAAAUGAAUUUCGCCUCGGGAGGGGUCCAUGAGCUAUCAGCUAGUUGGUGGGGUAACGGCCCACCAAGGCGUAGACGGCUAGCGGGUGUGAGAGCACGACCCGCGCCACUGGCACUGAGACACUGGCCAGACACCUACGGGUGGCUGCAGUCGAGGAUCUUCGUCAAUGGGGGAAACCCUGAACGAGCGAUGCCGCGUGAGCGAUGAAGGCCUUCGGGUUGUAAAGCUCAAAAGAAGUGAGAAAGGGAAACUUGAUCAAACUUCAGUAAGCUCGGGCUAAGUUCGUGCCAGCAGCCGCGGUAAGACGAACCGAGCGAACGUUGUUCGGAAUCACUGGGCUUAAAGGGCGCGUAGGCGGAUAUUCAAGUCUGUGGUGAAAUCCUCCGGCUCAACCGGAGAACUGCCAUGGAUACUGGGUGUCUCGAGGGUGGUAGGGGUAUGCGGAACUAUCGGUGGAGCGGUGAAAUGCGUUGAUAUCGAUAGGAACUCCGGUGGCGAAGGCGGCAUACUGGACCACAUCUGACGCUGAGGCGCGAAAGCCAGGGGAGCGAACGGGAUUAGAUACCCCGGUAGUCCUGGCCCUAAACGAUGGGUACUAGCUAGUAGGGUUCACAUGACUUUACUGGCGAAGCAAAAGUGAUAAGUACCCCGCCUGGGGAGUAUGGUCGCAAGGCUGAAACUCAAAGGAAUUGACGGGGGCUCACACAGCGGUGG
RNAcentral lists this ribosomal RNA (874 nucleotides) under uncultured bacterium. Its description in RNAcentral is "bacterial SSU rRNA". It matches the Rfam family "Bacterial small subunit ribosomal RNA", at positions 41 to 935 of the family's 1533-position model. The record is from RNAcentral.